Molecule: ribosomal RNA, 505 nt
Filed under: uncultured bacterium
Lineage: Bacteria
Description: partial 16S ribosomal RNA
Rfam family: Bacterial small subunit ribosomal RNA
Source: RNAcentral
GAUGAACGCUAGCGGCAGGCCUAAUACAUGCAAGACGAACGGUAAGAUUUUUAGCAAUAGAGAUCCUAGAGUGUCGUAAGGGUGCGUAACACGUAUGCAAUCUGCCCUCAACAGGAGAAUAGCUCCCCGAAAGGGGAAUUAACACUCCGUAAGAUUGAGGUUCGGCAUCGGACAGCAAUUAAAACUGAGGUGGUUGAGGAUGAGCAUGCGCAUGAUUAGUUAGUUGGCGGGGUAACGGCCCACCAAGACGAUGAUCAUUAGGGGAACUGAGAGGUUGAUCCCCCACACUGGCACUGAGAUACGGGCCAGACUCCUACGGGAGGCAGCAGUAGGGAAUUUUGGACAAUGGGCGAAAGCCUGAUCCAGCAAUGCCGCGUGCAGGAAGAAGGCCUUCGGGUUGUAAACUGCUUUUGUACGGAGCGAAAAGGUCCUUUCUAAUACAAGGGGCUCAUGACGGUACCGUAGGAAUAAGCACCGGCUAACUACGUGCCAGCCGCCGCCGUAA